This 23-nucleotide non-coding RNA is filed under the name Arabidopsis thaliana (thale cress). Lineage: Eukaryota; Viridiplantae; Streptophyta; Magnoliopsida; Brassicales; Brassicaceae. The record is from RNAcentral.
AAUGAUCUUGGCUGUCCUGUUGC